CGCAGCAUGAUGCAGUGAUUUCGUAUACACGUAGAAGGACAUUCGUCGACCUCGCUGCUCGUACCGUGUCCAGUGAAGGUCGAGGACGAGGGUGCAUUCCUGCAGGAUACAUCCGUGUAUAUAUUGUCAUCAAUGUGCCUCGAUCACGUGUUCAAAUAUUGAACAUACCGAAAUUAUAAUUCGGGUGGACAUCGUCGUUGUGACUCGUCACCACCACCAUACACGUCACCGCCGACCAUCACGACUACCGCGACAACUUCGAUGUGUCGUCUCGCCACCAUUAUAAUAUAACCAUUUCACCGGACGCAUGCAGAUUAUGUUUUCAAUAUUAUUUUAAUAAAAUUCGGUUAGGUGCAUGGCCAUCUUUUUGCGCUGUAAUUCAUGCUUUACAUCUACGAAGACUAUAUCGCCCGAGAUUUCCUUAAAAGAUUCUGAGAAAUUAAAUACGUCUUUUUCGUUCUGCACACAAAUUUCACGGUGCGCGAGGAUCAAAGGGAUUUGUAGUCUACGUAUUCUUUUUUUAUUCUAAUGUGCGCACAUACAAAUCACACGUGAGCUACGAUGAGUAUUCUUCGAACACCGAAAAUAGUCGCAUCGUUAUGUAAUAUACAAUAUUAUACUGCACCUUAAUCGCAUUGCUCCCAAGUGCGUACAUAUACGCUUAUAUAUAUAUACGAUAAGCGCUUGCACGCGUAAUAAAUACGAACGUAAGUGUAACUGCACAGCGGGCGUGAGCGAUAAAUAACAGUUUUUGUUUCUCCGUCUCUCUCUAUAUAUAUAUUAUAUACAUAUAUAUAUAUAUAUGUAUAUGUAUUAUAAUUAUAUUAUAUGUGCACCGUUCGUGCAGUUCACUCGUUUUGAACGCGACUCGUGCAGUGUGAAUAAUAGAUAUAUAUUAUCCUAUUUUUUUCUGGCUCGCGGGACCGACGGUCCGCCAAAUGCUUGCAGACGUCGUCGCAAUAAACUCUCUCGCGGCGGGCGCGGGGCGUGUUCCGCGUGCAGUGCUAUAAUAUGCGUCGUGUCAAAGGCUGCGUACAGGAUGAGGUACUGAUGCAGUACGAGAGACGAAUAUAAAAAAAAAAUCUCGUCUGGCUGCGUUCCAAAUUCGAAACAGAACAAAAAAAUUAAAACCGUAUACCACCCGACGUUAGAGCGAGUGUAUAAUAUAAUACUAUACGGCAUAUAUUUACAUAACAUAAAAAUAAUAAUAUAUUAUAUAUUUAUACAUUAUACAUCAUGUGAUAUCGAAAAUCGUCUAUGCCGAAAAAAUCACCGACGAAAUGGGUAACCUACCGUAGUGCACAAUAUGGUAUAAUAAUAAUCGACAGCAUUCAUAAUAAUAUGACGGUCGUAUAUUAUGUACAUUACAAGCGAAAUUCAAAUUUGUAUACAUACGAUAUACAUACGUCUUGUACCAUAGAGUGUGAUAAGACGACUGGUGAGGGGUGGUUCGCAUUUGGAUAAUUUUAACCACAUAUAACUACAUUUUUUUGGGUAAAAUAUAGAUAUAGAUAUCUAUAGUAUAUUAUAGUUUAGAAAGUCGAUUACAUACUGUAGGAUCCCUUAUUAUAAAUGUUUAUAGAACUGUUAAAAUAUGAAGUAUUAUAUAUAGAUGUGACAUUUUGUAUAUUAUUUUUUUAAUAAGACAUCUAUGGGCGUGAUGAUUAAUGAGUACUGGUCAAACGAUCCGGGAAAGUGAAGUGAUUAGGUACCUAAAUGUUAACUCAUUAGGCACUGCCAGAAAAACUAUUUACAAUCUAGCUGGUUUGUCAAUAUUUAAAUACUUAUACAAUUGCACGAACAAAAAAACCUAGGAAGUAGCUUUUUCGUAUAAUAUAGGUCUUGAAUUUUACGAAUGUACGUAUUGAGUAGGUACCACUAUUUUUUAUAUAUUAGACUCUAUUUUCAGUGAACACUUGAUAAGUGUAGUAAAUAAAUUAACGAGUACACACAAAUUAGAUAUAAUAGGUAUAUAAAGUAUAUUCACUUGUCUUAAAACAAUUAUGAACUGAAGGUGUUUUUCUGGAAACAAGUCCAAGCAAAAAGAAUUGUGUAGAGUCAAAUCCCGAAUCAAAUAAUUUUUGUAUCAAACAUUCUGCAUACAAUCUAUAGUAACUGUUAAUUAUUUUUUAUUUCAUAAAUAUGCAUACAAAGUAAUAAUAAUUUAACUAUACAACCAGGGUUUGAUAAAAACUAAAUAAUAUUUUUUACUAAAGCAUCUAUAUUCUAUUAUCUAUACUAUAGAUUCUAUAGUAUAUACUGUAUAAAGUAUACUUGUUAAAUGCGUCAUGCCAAUAAUUUUGGAAUUUUUCUAAUGACAAAACGUCGUAUAAAUAAUAAUUAUAAUUAUGUAUACAAACUUAAAAUAUUAAGCAUUAAAACAUUAUUUUACAUUUAACAUGCAUUAUUGUAACGAUAAUAUAUAUAUAUAAAAAAUGAUGUUAACAUUGUAGUGCGAAUCGCUGAAAAAUAACAAACAGGUUUUUUGAAAAUUAAAUAUUAUGUAUAAGACUUUUAGAUAAAAUAAACACAUAUAGGUAAACAGGUUUAAGGUAAAAAAUCUAUUCGCUUUAAUGUUACUAAUUUCUUUCAAUUUUCGGUUGCCCGAUUAUCUUACGACUAAAUUAUAAAAAGAAAAUAUAUACAGUGGUAUUUUAUAAUCUUAUAAUGUGCAUAAUCUCCAUAAUAUAGAACGUCAUUUUUUAAUUUUUUUUUUCUCUUUUCCUAUCAAAUUUACUACGUCAUUAUUUGUAUUGGCGUUUCACGAUAUUAUCAUCACGGUGGAAUCUGAUUAGGACAUUUUCAAUCUGGUAGUCGCAAUAUACGACGUAGAUACUUAAAUAUUGAAUACCAGAAUACGUUCGAGGACCACUGCAAACAAUCGCAACACAAACAAGAUUUCAUUCGGAGGUGACCUUUGCUAUGCGUAUUUGUAUAAUAUAUGUAUGUUAUGUAUUUAUACGGUCGGUAGUCGAGGAUGGUCGCGCGUGACUAGUCGUCGGUUAGCCGAGGAGGACGACCAUCUACACAUUUUGUCGAAAACAAACCUGAUGCGUGGAAUUUCGUCAGAAGAAUCAAAAUUAGCGAGGAAAAUGUCCGUACACGUUUCCCGUGUAUAAUUAUUACACAAACGCCAUGCGCCCACACGUACAACUACCGACAUGUAAAGAUAUUUGGAACAAUUUCUUGGAAACUCAGACGCCGUGAGAUGUACUGUACGCACUCGACCACUACCAUCACAAUAAUAAUAUUAUGCCAUGCACAACGGACGGGACCAUUUUAAUCCAAAAAAUUAUUAUUAUGUAUUUUUUUUUUUUAAUAUUAAAAUCGCUUAUUUUAUUUGUGUAAAGUAUGAAAAAUAUUGUAUUUAAUUUGUGUGUUCUGAUGCAAUAUUACCAAAAAAAUGAAUCAAA
Rhopalosiphum padi (bird cherry-oat aphid) is the source of this 3413-nucleotide long non-coding RNA. RefSeq lists it as uncharacterized. Lineage: Eukaryota; Metazoa; Arthropoda; Insecta; Hemiptera; Aphididae. The transcript is spliced from 3 exons. The record is from RefSeq and is a predicted model, not a curated record.